RNAcentral lists this ribosomal RNA (495 nucleotides) under uncultured bacterium. RNAcentral's name for it is "partial 16S ribosomal RNA". It matches the Rfam family "Bacterial small subunit ribosomal RNA", at positions 28 to 507 of the family's 1533-position model. The record is from RNAcentral.
GACGAACGCUGGCGGCGUGCCUAAUACAUGCCAGUAGAACGCUGAAGGAGGAGCUUGCUUCUCUGGAUGAGUUGCGAACGGGUGAGUAACGCGUAGGUAACCUGCCUGGUAGCGGGGGAUAACUAUUGGAAACGAUAGCUAAUACCGCAUAAUAGUAGAUGUUGCAUGACAUUUGCUUAAAAGGUGCAAUUGCAUCACUACCAGAUGGACCUGCGUUGUAUUAGCCAGUUGGUGGGGUAACGGCUCACCAAGGCGACGAUACAUAGCCGACCUGAGAGGGUGAUCGGCCACACUGGGACUGAGACACGGCCCAGACUCCUACGGGAGGCAGCAGUAGGGAAUCUUCGGCAAUGGACGGAAGUCUGACCGAGCAACGCCGCGUGAGUGAAGAAGGUUUUCGGAUCGUAAAGCUCUGUUGUAAGAGAAGAACGAGUGUGAGAGUGGAAAGUUCACACUGUGACGGUAUCUUACCAGAAAGGGACGGCUAACUACGUG